RNAcentral lists this ribosomal RNA (254 nucleotides) under uncultured bacterium. RNAcentral describes it as "partial 16S ribosomal RNA". It matches the Rfam family "Bacterial small subunit ribosomal RNA", at positions 524 to 776 of the family's 1533-position model. The record is from RNAcentral.
UACGUAGGGGGCAAGCGUUGUCCGGAUUUAUUGGGCGUAAAGAGCUCGUAGGUGGUUCGGUAAGUCGGAUGUGAAAUCUCCAGGCUCAACCUGGAGGGGUCAUUCGAUACUGCCGUGACUAGAGGUCGGUAGGGGAGUGUGGAAUUCCUGGUGGAGCGGUGAAAUGCGCAGAUAUCGGGAAGAACACCCGUGGCGAAGGCGGCUCUCUGGGACGGUACUGACGCUGAGACGCGAAAGCGUGGGGAGCGAACAGG